This 382-nucleotide ribosomal RNA is filed under the name uncultured bacterium. RNAcentral describes it as "bacterial SSU rRNA". It matches the Rfam family "Bacterial small subunit ribosomal RNA", at positions 34 to 411 of the family's 1533-position model. The record is from RNAcentral.
GAAUUCACUAGUGAUUCAGGCCUAACACAUGCAAGUCGAACGGCAGCACGGAGCUUGCUCUGGUGGCGAGUGGCGAACGGGUGAGUAAUAUAUCGGAACGUACCCUGGAGUGGGGGAUAACGUAGCGAAAGUUACGCUAAUGCCGCAUACGAUCUACGGAUGAAAGUGGGGGAUCGCAAGACCUCAUGCUCGUGGAGCGGCCGAUAUCUGAUUAGCUAGUUGGUAGGGUAAAAGCCUACCAAGGCAUCGAUCAGUAGCUGGUCUGAGAGGACGGCCAGCCACACUGGAACUGAGACACGGUCCAGACUCCUACGGGAGGCAGCAGUGGGGAAUUUUGGACAAUGGGCGAAAGCCUGAUCCAGCAAGGCCGCGUGAGUGAAGA